CACUUUAAACAAUUUUGUUGUCUUAUACAUACCAAGACAAAAACUGCAUUGUGCACGAUACACAAAAUAAUAACGGGCGUUGCUUUACUUAUCUUGAAAAAUAAAAAAAUAUUAUCAUCUACUUCUACUAUAAAUGAUAAAGACUUCGGUCAUGGAUUCGAUAUUCCUGAAAUAGUGAGAUGCAUGUUUAAAGAACCAACAGAAGAUAAAAUGUGCCAGAAAGAUUGUUUCUUUAAAGGAUAUCUGUAUGGGAUCUGCGUCGGAAAUACAUGCACUUGUCUAUAAUUUCAUUGAAUCUUCGAUGAUAGGAAGUAAAAAAUAUUGUUCGUGUAAAACUAAUGGUGUGGAUUUUCAAUUAAUUAUACAACAAACAAACA
Papilio polytes (common Mormon) is the source of this 377-nucleotide long non-coding RNA. RefSeq lists it as uncharacterized. NCBI's taxonomy places the organism in Eukaryota, Metazoa, Arthropoda, Insecta, Lepidoptera, Papilionidae. The record is from RefSeq and is a predicted model, not a curated record. The transcript is spliced from 2 exons.